GAUGAACGCUGGCGGCGUGCCUAAUACAUGCAAGUCGAGCGAACAGACGAGGAGCUUACUCCUCUGACGUUAGCGGCGGACGGGCGAGUAACACGUGGAUAACCUACCUAUAAGACUGGGAUAACUUCGGGAAACCGGAGCUAAUACCGGAUAACAUGUUGAACCGCAUGGUUCAACAGUGAAAGACGGUCUUGCUGUCACUUAUAGAUGGAUCCGCGUCGCAUUAGCUAGUUGGUAAGGUAACGGCUUACCAAGGCAACGAUGCGUAGCCGACCUGAGAGGGUGAUCGGCCACACUGGAACUGAGACACGGUCCAGACUCCUACGGGAGGCAGCAGUAGGGAAUCUUCCGCAAUGGGCGAAAGCCUGACGGAGCAACGCCGCGUGAGUGAAGAAGGUCUUCGGAUCGUAAAACUCUGUUAUUAGGGAAGAACAAAUGUGUAAGUAACUAUGCACGUCUUGACGGUACCUAAUCAGAAAGCCACGGCUAACUACGUG
Molecule: ribosomal RNA, 497 nt
Filed under: uncultured bacterium
Lineage: Bacteria
Description: partial 16S ribosomal RNA
Rfam family: Bacterial small subunit ribosomal RNA
Source: RNAcentral